This 468-nucleotide ribosomal RNA is filed under the name uncultured bacterium. RNAcentral's name for it is "partial 16S ribosomal RNA". It matches the Rfam family "Bacterial small subunit ribosomal RNA", at positions 28 to 507 of the family's 1533-position model. The record is from RNAcentral.
GACGAACGCUGGCGGCGUGCUUAACACAUGCAAGUCGAACGGAAAGGCCCUGCUUUUGUGGGGUGCUCGAGUGGCGAACGGGUGAGUAACACGUGAGUAACCUGCCCUUGACUUUGGGAUAACUUCAGGAAACUGGGGCUAAUACCGGAUAGGAGCUCCUGCUGCAUGGUGGGGGUUGGAAAGUUUCGGCGGUUGGGGAUGGACUCGCGGGUUAUCAGCUUGUUGGUGGGGUAGUGGCUUACCAAGGCUUUGACGGGUAGCCGGCCUGAGAGGGUGACCGGCCACAUUGGGACUGAGAUACGGCCCAGACUCCUACGGGAGGCAGCAGUGGGGAAUAUUGCACAAUGGGCGGAAGCCUGAUGCAGCAACGCCGCGUGCGGGAUGACGGCUUUCGGGUUGUAAACCGCUGUCGCCGGUGACGAAGCGUGAGUGACGGUAAUGGGUAAAGAAGCACCGGCUAACUACGUG